GUUUUUGUAGUUGAGCACAACUACAGCCCUUCAGCCUGUUACCCUGAGUUAAACCCUCAGCAAAAACU
This 68-nucleotide transfer RNA is filed under the name Stereobalanus canadensis. RNAcentral describes it as "tRNA-Glu". Lineage: Eukaryota; Metazoa; Hemichordata; Enteropneusta; Harrimaniidae. The record is from RNAcentral.